Molecule: ribosomal RNA, 2923 nt
Filed under: uncultured Clostridium sp.
Lineage: Bacteria; Bacillati; Bacillota; Clostridia; Eubacteriales; Clostridiaceae
Description: partial contains 16S ribosomal RNA, 16S-23S ribosomal RNA intergenic spacer, and 23S ribosomal RNA
Rfam family: Bacterial small subunit ribosomal RNA (bases 1-1501)
Source: RNAcentral
GAUGAACGCUGGCGGCGUGCUUAACACAUGCAAGUCGAACGGGGUACCCAUGACAGAGGCUUCGGCCAAUUGAUUGGAAUACCUAGUGGCGGACGGGUGAGUAACGCGUGAGCAAUCUGCCUUGGAGUGGGGAAUAACAGUUGGAAACAGCUGCUAAUACCGCAUAAUACAGUUGUGUCGCAUGGCACUGACUGUCAAAGAUUUAUCGCUCUGAGAUGAGCUCGCGUCUGAUUAGCUAGUUGGUGAGGUAACGGCUCACCAAGGCGACGAUCAGUAGCCGGACUGAGAGGUUGGCCGGCCACAUUGGGACUGAGACACGGCCCAGACUCCUACGGGAGGCAGCAGUGGGGAAUAUUGGGCAAUGGGCGCAAGCCUGACCCAGCAACGCCGCGUGAAGGAAGAAGGCUUUCGGGUUGUAAACUUCUUUUCUGAGGGACGAUAGUGACGGUACCUCAGGAAUAAGCCACGGCUAACUACGUGCCAGCAGCCGCGGUAAUACGUAGGUGGCAAGCGUUAUCCGGAUUUACUGGGUGUAAAGGGCGUGUAGGCGGGAUGGUAAGUCAGAUGUGAAAACUAUGGGCUCAACCCAUAGCCUGCAUUUGAAACUAUCGUUCUUGAGUGUUGGAGAGGCAGGCGGAAUUCCGUGUGUAGCGGUGAAAUGCGUAGAUAUACGGAGGAACACCAGUGGCGAAGGCGGCCUGCUGGACAAUAACUGACGCUGAGGCGCGAAAGCGUGGGGAGCAAACAGGAUUAGAUACCCUGGUAGUCCACGCUGUAAACGAUGGAUACUAGGUGUGGGGGGUCUGACCCCCUCCGUGCCGCAGUUAACACAAUAAGUAUCCCACCUGGGGAGUACGAUCGCAAGGUUGAAACUCAAAGGAAUUGACGGGGGCCCGCACAAGCGGUGGAGUAUGUGGUUUAAUUCGAAGCAACGCGAAGAACCUUACCAGGGCUUGACAUGGGGAUGACCGGACUAGAGAUAGUUUUUUCCCUUCGGGGACAUCCCACACAGGUGGUGCAUGGUUGUCGUCAGCUCGUGUCGUGAGAUGUUGGGUUAAGUCCCGCAACGAGCGCAACCCUUAUUGUUAGUUGCUACGCAAGAGCACUCUAGCGAGACUGCCGUUGACAAAACGGAGGAAGGUGGGGACGACGUCAAAUCAUCAUGCCCCUUAUGUCCUGGGCCACACACGUACUACAAUGGUGGUCAACAGAGGGAAGCAAUACCGCGAGGUGGAGCAAAUCCCUAAAAGCCAUCCCAGUUCGGAUCGCAGGCUGAAACCCGCCUGCGUGAAGUUGGAAUCGCUAGUAAUCGCGGAUCAGCAUGCCGCGGUGAAUACGUUCCCGGGCCUUGUACACACCGCCCGUCACACCAUGAGAGUCGGGAACACCCGAAGUCCGUAGUCUAACCGCAAGGGGGACGCGGCCGAAGGUGGGUUCGAUAAUUGGGGUGAAGUCGUAACAAGGUAGCCGUAUCGGAAGGUGCGGCUGGAUCACCUCCUUUCUAAGGAGAAACGAAGCGUGAGCGUAGACACAUAGCCUUGGAUGGACCGAAGCGAGGGCGAAAGCCCCGGUGGAGGUCGUUCUCCGCCGGGUUUUGCCCGAGACGGAGGGAAGCCAAGGCGUGAUGUGUCCAACUCGAACAUGACAGCCCCAGAGGCAGUCACGAGCGCCGAGGCGCUGCUUCAAAAUCCUAGGUCAGGCUCUUGGGGCGAAGCGGAAGUAUUUCACGUUGUUUAAUUUAGAGGGUAUACGCUCAGGGCAAGUAGGGGGGUAUAGCUCAGCUGGUAGAGCACCUGCUUUGCAAGCAGGGGGUCAUCGGUUCGAGUCCGUUUACCUCCACCAACGGGCCAAUAGCUCAGCUGGCUAGAGCACACGACUGAUAAUCGUGAGGUCGGUGGUUCGAGUCCACUUUGGCCCACCAGUGAGAACAGAUACAAGUUCUCAAGAAAUUGAGGACUUGUAUCUGGUUUCAACUAGAGACCAGAGGGUUGCACCUUGAAAACUGAACAACGAAGAAAAACAUUCCAGAAAUGUGAGAGCAAGCAACAGAAGAACGAAGCGUGAGCGUAGGCGUGCCGCCGGACUUGGAGCAGAGCGAGACCAAAAAACAGGCUGGGCGAAGCUCAGCGGCAUUUUGGCGAGCGACAGCGAAAGGACGGCGAGAAGCGCACCCAACGCGAACGUGACAGCACGUUGUGGAAACUUUAAGAGGGUAAAAGCAACAAACGCUGAAGAUUCUUCCGUAAGAUUGUGUCUGCAUAAUUCUUGAGAACCAGAAACGUGAGCGUAGACGCACAGCGACCGAUGGACCGGCCCGCACGGCAAAAACAGGCUGGGCGAAGCCCAGCGGCAUUUUGCCAAGGGGCGGGAAGCGGGAGCGGACGAGCGUCCAACGCGAACGUGACAUGGCGCAAGCAGAGCUUGCGCCACGAGGUCAAGCUGGAAAGAGCGCAAGGGGAAUGCCUUGGCAUCAGGAGCCGAAGAAGGACGUGACAAGCUGCGAUAAGCUACGGGGAGCGGCACAUACGCAUCGAUCCGUAGAUUUCCGAAUGGGGAAACCCGGCAGAGCAAUACUCUGUCAACCUGCGUUGAAUCAAAUAGGCGUAGGUGGGGAACCGCCUGAACUGAAACAUCUAAGUAGGGCGAGGAAGAGAAAUCAACAGAGAUUCCGCAAGUAGUGGCGAGCGAACGCGGAAGAGGGCAAACCGGCGGAUUUAUUCGCCGGGGUUGUGGACUGACACAACGGUCAAGCCAUCUAGGAGAACGGCAUGGGAAGGCCGAUCAUAGAAGGUGAGAGUCCUGUAUCCGAAAGGUGGACUUGGCCAGUCAGGAUCCAGAGUACCGCGGGACACGUGAAACCCCGUGGGAAGCUGGGGGGACCACCCUCCAACCCUAAAUACUACCUGAUGACCGAUAGAGGAGC